GAAGCAAUUUGCUCUCCGCACCGCGCCACAGCGAGGUAGCCAGUACCUUCGGACUGUGGCUGCCUGGCCCUGUUAGACAAGCUGACUGUGAAGUUAUAUGGAGAGAAAAGACACCAGGCACAUGAACCUGUGUUCUACAUACCGCUGGGUAUGGUGAAAGAAGGAAAGUCAAGGCACGGACCUACUGUGGGUCAUGUGGUAGACACACGGUUAAAAGUCUCUGCUAUUGAAUCUGACCUAUCCCCUCAGGCUCCUGUUUUAACCUUGGCUCCCUGCUUCUGGCACUGUUUUGAAGGCUUGGGCUGAGCUGCCUUAAAGUUUACUCCUGCCUCUGGUUCUCCUUGCUUUCUCUAAUUCUGUAUUGCUACCGUGUAAGCCGUCCUCCACUCCAUGCUUCUCCCUGCCACAGACAGCUGCCAUGAAUUCUGCCAUGCCUUCCCUGUGUGAGAGACUGAAACAAGAGCCAAAAUAGAUAUUUCUUCCUUUAAGCUGCUUCUGUUGGGGCAUUUUGCUCACAGCAGCACAAAAGAAGCUAGUACGGUCUUUAACACUUCUGCCAUGAGAGAGGCUCCAACCUUUCUGGCUCCCUCAAAUCUAGAUUGGCUUUUAUGAUUUGCCUGGCCAGCAGAUUUUAAAGGAUGUCACAGUCUGGGGUUCCUGUGUCACGAGAAGCCUUGACGCUUCUUUACAACUGUCUCAGAGCACUUGCUCUGGGGAAAGCCAGGUGCCAUCAGAGAAUUCCACGUCUCUGAAGUUGCCAUACUGGAAGGUAGCUGGGCUCCAACCUUUCUAGUCCACAGCCAUUCACUUGGGUACCAGAUAAGAAGCCAAGAAAAGGAGUCCCUGUGAUACACAGCUACUAGUUUAUGAGCAUAAUAAGUAGGAGUACUAGUUUAAGCCAGAAAGUUGGGGAAUGGCUGAUUACACGAUAGAAAACUGUAACGCAUCCUGUAACUCACUCUCGACAAGGACAAGAAGUCUAGUGAUGUAGACCCAAUUAAGAAUUCAUCAAGGGGGACUGGAGAGAUGGCUCAGUGGUUAAGAGCACCAACUGCUCUUCCUGAGGUCCUGAG
RNAcentral lists this small RNA (1073 nucleotides) under Rattus norvegicus (Norway rat). Its description in RNAcentral is "uncharacterized LOC102547276". The record is from RNAcentral. Lineage: Eukaryota; Metazoa; Chordata; Mammalia; Rodentia; Muridae.